AACGAACGCUGGCGGCAGGCUUAACACAUGCAAGUCGAGCGCCCCGCAAGGGGAGCGGCAGACGGGUGAGUAACGCGUGGGAAUCUACCCAUCACUACGGAACAACUCCGGGAAACUGGAGCUAAUACCGUAUACGUCCUUCGGGAGAAAGAUUUAUCGGUGAUGGAUGAGCCCGCGUUGGAUUAGCUAGUUGGUGGGGUAAUGGCCUACCAAGGCGACGAUCCAUAGCUGGUCUGAGAGGAUGAUCAGCCACAUUGGGACUGAGACACGGCCCAAACUCCUACGGGAGGCAGCAGUGGGGAAUAUUGGACAAUGGGCGAAAGCCUGAUCCAGCCAUGCCGCGUGAGUGAUGAAGGCCCUAGGGUUGUAAAGCUCUUUCACCGGUGAAGAUAAUGACGGUAACCGGAGAAGAAGCCCCGGCUAACUUCGUGCCAGCAGCCGCCGUAA
This 447-nucleotide ribosomal RNA is filed under the name uncultured bacterium. RNAcentral's name for it is "partial 16S ribosomal RNA". It matches the Rfam family "Bacterial small subunit ribosomal RNA", at positions 29 to 523 of the family's 1533-position model. The record is from RNAcentral.